UCCGUAGGUGAACCUGCGGAAGGAUCAUUACCGAGUUGAUUCGAGCUCCGGCUCGACUCUCCCACCCAAUGUGUACCUACCUCUGUUGCUUUGGCGGGCCGCGGUCCUCCGCACCGGCGCCCUUCGGGGGGCUGGCCAGCGCCCGCCAGAGGACCAUAAAACUCCAGUCAGUGAACUUCGCAGUCUGAAAAACAAGUUAAUAAACUAAAACUUUCAACAACGGAUCUCUUGGUUCUGGCAUCGAUGAAGAACGCAGCGAAAUGCGAUAAGUAAUGUGAAUUGCAGAAUUCAGUGAAUCAUCGAAUCUUUGAACGCACAUUGCGCCCCUUGGUAUUCCGAGGGGCAUGCCUGUUCGAGCGUCAUUUCAACCCUCAAGCUCUGCUUGGUACUGGGCCCCGUCCUCCACGGACGCGCCUUAAAGACCUCGGCGGUGGCGUCUUGCCUCAAGCGUAGUAGAAAACACCUCGCUUUGGAGCGCACGGCGUCGCCCGCCGGACGAACCUUUGAAUUAUUUCUCAAGGUUGACCUCGGAUCAGGUAGGGAUACCCGCUGAACUUAAGCAUAUCAAUAAGCGGAGGA
Molecule: ribosomal RNA, 579 nt
Filed under: Neofusicoccum parvum
Lineage: Eukaryota; Fungi; Ascomycota; Dothideomycetes; Botryosphaeriales; Botryosphaeriaceae
Description: eukaryotic LSU rRNA
Rfam family: 5.8S ribosomal RNA (bases 209-362)
Source: RNAcentral